This is a long non-coding RNA of Malaya genurostris, 344 nucleotides long. RefSeq lists it as uncharacterized. The record is from RefSeq and is a predicted model, not a curated record. The transcript is spliced from 3 exons. NCBI's taxonomy places the organism in Eukaryota, Metazoa, Arthropoda, Insecta, Diptera, Culicidae.
GUUUUGAAACAGUUCAAUUGAAAUUUUUUGCCAUCAGUGCCAAAAUUAAAAACUCUAAAUAGUUCUGGAGAAAUCAAGAUCGAGGAAGCGCGAGGCCGGGAACUGGUACCCCUGAAAAAUGAUAUUAUCAAUACGACGAAAAUUACAGAAUUAUCUUGCACCAGAGUCAGGUUCAAUAGUUGAACAUGUACCAGAAAGAACUAGAAAUUUGUCAUAAUUCUGAUCAGAAACUGGAUUCCCGUGUUCUCAACUGUCUCAGGUUCAUCAAAUUCUACACCCGUUUUCCGAAGUAAAGGAGUACCUGGAAUGUCCAAAAUAUGACGACGUAAUGUUUUACAUGUACG